Long non-coding RNA from Sarcophilus harrisii (Tasmanian devil), 521 nucleotides. RefSeq lists it as uncharacterized. Lineage: Eukaryota; Metazoa; Chordata; Mammalia; Dasyuromorphia; Dasyuridae. The record is from RefSeq and is a predicted model, not a curated record. The transcript is spliced from 3 exons.
UUCCCCCCUCCUCUUUCUCUCUCUCUCAGCCCGCCCACUAAACUCUCCUUCCCUUAGCUUAGAUCUGUCAGUGUAUUGGCUCCAAAGAACUGUCACUCACUGUCAGCCUGCCGCCUCCACCUCCAGGUCCCUGCUCAGGUGUCAUUCACCCUGUAGGCCUGCUUUGAGGAAGAAGAACGGCCAGAGUGAGGUGGAUCGGAGCGCAAAGGCAAUGGAGAGAGAAGGCCUGCCUACCCAUCCGGUGCAAAUAUAUACCCUGUCCUCUACUUUUGCGACUGUGCUUUCCCCGUUUGGUUGAGCCGCAGUAGAAUAGAACCUCCAUGAGGAUGCCUUGCCAUUUUGACACUCCAGGUUGUAGAGCCUGUGUGGUAUUGAUGCUUCAGGGUGCAAGGAGUAACCUUUGAAAUCCAAGGCCAGAAGAAACUGGAAACUGAGUGGAUGCCCAUCAGUUGGAGAAUGGUUGAAUAAGUUAUGGUAUAUGAAUGUUAUGGAAUAUUACUGUUCUGUAAGAAACAAUCAGC